This is a long non-coding RNA of Protobothrops mucrosquamatus (brown spotted pit viper), 216 nucleotides long. RefSeq lists it as uncharacterized. The record is from RefSeq and is a predicted model, not a curated record. The transcript has 3 exons. Lineage: Eukaryota; Metazoa; Chordata; Lepidosauria; Squamata; Viperidae.
GGCGGCGCCAGUGAGGACAACCGAGAGAGGAGGCCGAGCCGGCGGGAGAGGCCGAGCGGGUCAGCUCGUAGUUCUUUAAGAUCCGGGAUGCCCUACAAGCUGAAAAAAGAGAAGGAGCCUCCAAAAUCUACUAAAAGCACUACAAAGGCUAGCAGCAGCAGUGGAAAAGAUGGAGGUAAUGCAACAGAGAAUUCAGAAGAGAUCCAGCAGCAACAG